This 1230-nucleotide ribosomal RNA is filed under the name Dendrobaena tellermanica. RNAcentral describes it as "16S ribosomal RNA". The stretch from base 543 to 1230 matches the Rfam family "Eukaryotic large subunit ribosomal RNA", at positions 1891 to 3224 of the family's 3401-position model. Lineage: Eukaryota; Metazoa; Annelida; Clitellata; Crassiclitellata; Lumbricidae. The record is from RNAcentral.
UACUUUCUAAUAUCAACUCAAAUCAUUCUUAUAAAAACACUUUAACUUCUAAUAUCUCUCUCACAACAAUAACAAGUACUGAAAAGGAAAUAUUAAUAUACAUAAGUAGCUAUUAAUAAACGUACCUUGUGCAUUAUGGUUUUACAAGCACAAAGUUAAUACUUUAUACCCGAAUUCUAUGCGAGCUGCUUCAUCAUAGCUAAGCGCCCACUACCAGUUAUGGCAUAAACCCUAGAAAAUGAUGUUGCAGAGGCUACAUACCACCCGCGCUAGAAAAUUGCUGGUUCUCAACAAAACUUAUAAUUAAAACAUGUAGUAAUCUAUAAUGUAAGAUCACGGAGGAUAAGCCCCCUAAUCUGCUGCCAAUAUAACUUUAAUAUACCUAAAUAGGCCUAAAACCAGCCAACUUCAUUUCUUCACCGUUUCCUCAUAUUAAUAAAUGCUAUAUUAUUGCCUCAUAAAGUUGAGGAUAAAGAUUAAUUUUUACCCUUAAGUCAUUAUGUAAAAAUAAGUAUUAGAAGUAACACUAUAACCUCAAUCAGUUAAUCUUUUACAAAGGAACUCGGCAAAUCCUAAUUUCGACUGUUUAACAAAAACAUUGCUUUCUGACUUCAAAUAAAAAGUAAUUCCUGCCCAGUGAUAUUAUUCAACGGCCGCGGUAUCCUAACCGUGCAAAGGUAGCAUAAUCAUUUGCCCAUUAAUUGUGGGCUAGAAUGAACGGAUUAACGAAAUAAAGACUGUCUCUGUAAAAUCAAUAUAAACUAAUCUCCAAUUGAAGAACAUUGGAUAUAAUUGAAGGACAAGAAGACCCUAUAGAGCUUUAUUUUAAAUGAGUUCUAUACUCCCUAUAAAUUAGGUUGGGGCGACCUGGGAUAAUACAUAACAUCCCACAUGCUAAGAUAAACAUAUCACACUUUAAGACCCUUAAAAGAUCAUAGAAACAAGCUACCUUAGGGAUAACAGGCUAAUUCUAUUAAAGAGUUCUUAUCUAUAAUAGAGUUUGGCACCUCGAUGUUGGCUUAGGGUAUCUAUACAGCGCAAAAGUUGUAGAAAGAUGGUUUGUUCAACCAAUAAUACCCUACAUGAGCUGAGUUCAGACCGGCGUAAGCCAGGUUAGCUUCUAUCCUCAAUUAAACCCAUAUUUACAGUACGAAAGGACCUUAAUAUGAUAAUUAUUAUAAGUAAGGAACAAAUAUAAUAUUUAUUAAACUUAAAAACUCAUACUUUAUC